AUGCAUUUUCUUAUUUCUUCUUUUUUUUUUCCCUCUCCCCCAAAUAAUCCAUUAUUUAGCAUGCAUUUCUAUGUCUGCUUGCCAAGGGUCAGGGUUGAUGUGGUUCAGCCCUCGUGCUGCAAGCAGAGGCAGCCACCAGUGGUGUUUCCCACAGCUGGAGUUCAGUUGUCAGGCUCGCAGAGACCUCGGCAAGUCUCUCAUACUGAGAGAUCAGCAGACUCGCCUCUUGGAAAUGGUUCUGGCUUCGCACGGAUUCUGAGUCUAAAGGACCCACCUGUGUGAGUGAGCUGGAGUCCCAGCUGGAUCAACACAGAACUUGGGAAAUGGGAGGUGGAAUCUGACAUUGUCUAGACUCUAUUUCACAGAAAAAAAACAUCAUCUACAAAUAGAUUGCUUUUAACUAAGAAGGAGCAUCAAGUAAGUAUUGGGUGCAAUUCACUUAUGUCAAAAUAAAGUCCUUAAUUAUUUGUUGGCUUGAAGAAUUUCUGUCUGCAGUGCAGAAUGGCUUUCACACUACCUUGGGUCCAAGAGAUCUGUGAGGAUGGCCCUGGUGCCUCUAGAAAGGCAGAAAACAAAUGGCAAAAUGGAUCAUUUAAAUUCUCUGGGGGCAGGGAGAGGCCUCC
This 623-nucleotide long non-coding RNA is filed under the name Ficedula albicollis (Collared flycatcher). Its description in RNAcentral is "lncRNA (ENSFALG00000023764.1)". The record is from RNAcentral. Lineage: Eukaryota; Metazoa; Chordata; Aves; Passeriformes; Muscicapidae.